This 497-nucleotide ribosomal RNA is filed under the name uncultured bacterium. RNAcentral's name for it is "partial 16S ribosomal RNA". It matches the Rfam family "Bacterial small subunit ribosomal RNA", at positions 28 to 507 of the family's 1533-position model. The record is from RNAcentral.
GAUGAACGCUGGCGGCGUGCCUAAUACAUGCAAGUCGAGCGAACGGACGAUAAGCUUGUCUCUCUGUUGAUAGCCGCGCACGGGUGAGUAACACGUGGAUAACCUACCUGUAAGACUGGGAUAACUUCGGGAAACCGGAGCAAACACCGGAGGAUCUUUUGAACCGCGUGGUUCAAAAGUGAAAGACGGUCUUUCUGUCACUUAUAGAUGGAUCCGCGCUGCAUUAGCGAGUCUGUAAGGUAACGGCUUACCAAGGCAACGAUGCAUAACCGACCUGAGAGAGUGGUAGGCCACACUGGAACUGAAACGCGUUCCAGACUCCUACGGGAUGCCGCAGUAGGGAAGCUUGCGCAAUGGUCGAAAGCCUGACGGAAAGACGCCACGUGUGUAGCAACAAUCUCCGGAGCGGAAAAAUCGCGUAUGAGUGAUAAACAGAUUUGUAAGUAACUGAGGACAGCUUGACGGUACCGAAUAAGAAAGCAGCGGCUAACUACGUG